GAAUUUUGGACAAUGGGCGAAAGCCUGAUCCAGCAAUGCCGCGUGCAGGAUGAAGGCCUUCGGGUUGUAAACUGCUUUUGUACGGAACGAAAAGAUUUGGGUUAAUACCCUGGAGUCAUCACGCUACCGUAAGAAUAUGAACCGGCACACUACGUACCAGCAGCCGCGGUUAUACGUAGGGUGCAAGCGUUAACCGGAAUUACGGGGCGUAAAGCGUGCGCAGGCGAUUUUGUAAGACAGAGGUGAAAUCCCCGGGCUCAACCUGGGAACUGCCUUUGUGACUGCAAGGCUAGAGUACGGCAGAGGGGGGUGGAAUUCCGCGUGUAGCAGUGAAAUGCGUAGAUAUGCGGAGGAACACCGAUGGCGAAGGCAACCCCCUGGGCCUGUACUGACGCUCAUGCACGAAAGCGUGGGGAGCAAACA
RNAcentral lists this ribosomal RNA (423 nucleotides) under uncultured bacterium. RNAcentral describes it as "partial 16S ribosomal RNA". It matches the Rfam family "Bacterial small subunit ribosomal RNA", at positions 359 to 774 of the family's 1533-position model. The record is from RNAcentral.